This is a non-coding RNA of Cricetulus griseus (Chinese hamster), 5683 nucleotides long. The record is from RefSeq and is a predicted model, not a curated record. NCBI's taxonomy places the organism in Eukaryota, Metazoa, Chordata, Mammalia, Rodentia, Cricetidae.
UUCUCAAUGACUCCCGAACUCCUCACAGCUGUGUGAGGUGUCUUUGGAGACUGGCUACAGCCUCCCACUUCCUCAGGUCUGAGGAUGUGAGGCAGAAAGACAAACCUCAAGUCGGCUGGAAGCGUUUGCAAAGCAUCUUUUAGUCCACAGCGUGCUGUCACUGGCGCCUGCUUGGCCCAGCCUUGGUCUGGGCCCUGGGGACAUUGAUGAGUCAGGUCUGCAUCCUGAACCCCCUGUCCAGUGGUGGCCACUCUGGCUGUGCCUGCUGCCUUGCCCAGAGUUGUGGGCUGUUCUGUGAGAGGACUCAGUUGGGGCCUUGGUGAGUUGUGGUUCCAGCUAAAAGAGGCUGUGGCCUGGACACACACACCCAGAACCUUUCAUCCUCUGCUCAAGCCUCCUGUCCCCAGACAAGACCUCCUGUCCCCAGACAGGCCUUCCUUAUAGACAGUUCAUGUAUCCCACUGGCUUUCUGCAAGGGCUCCCUCUGCCUGGGACUAGCCACCCUGUUCUUUGUUUGCCACUGCUGGCUACCUGAGACUGGAUCCCCAUCUCUCCCCCCCCCCCCCCCCACUGCUCAACAGAGAGGAAUACUGCACCUUGAACACUUAGGCUGUGGCUCCGUUCAGAACAGGCCCUUCCCUCCAAGUGCCCCAGCCUUCCUGAGCUCCUGUCUCCCUGUCACCUGUGCCUCCGCCUUACAGGGCCUUCUCCCUGAGGAAAGGCAUUGACCAUGUCAGCACAGGGCUGCUGAGUGUGAAUGACCUGUGAGGUGUUUGUUGAAUGAGUGGUAUUUUUGCCCUUCUCUAAAAGCUGGAGCCAAAAGAAUACAUCACAAGAGCUCAGAACUGAGGUGAAUCAGAGGUCUAAAGCUUGUUUGCUGUCUCCAUCGGCACAAAAUGCCGGUCAGCCAGGAGACUUCUCAAGGAGGUGGUGUGACGUCCUGACCCCUUGGGCAGAACUGGGACCCUUGAAGAUGACCUCACAAGGUAGAAGGCACUCAGAAGGACCCUGGUUCAGAGUCAUCAGCCUGAAGAGGCAGGUUCUGGGCUGUCCCAGAUGGCCAGGGCACAGACCAGAACAAGCGGCAGCAGAGCUGAGUGGUCUGUGAAUGCUUGCUUCUCCAGUGUAUGCAGAGAUGAGAUUCAAGGGCUGGGUCAGGCACAGCAGCUCCAGAGGUUUUGGAGGUUAAACACAGGCGCCCCCUGUGUCCCAGGAGGAACUUAGUUACCUGUGUUGGUGAGCACCAGGACUACCACACCACAGCACACCUCACCACACUACACCACAGCACACUGGCUGUGGCUAGGCUUCUGCAAUGAGUGCUGUGUUUGAGGACCGGUUGCCUUCAGGCUAAGAACAUCUGAAGCUCGUUAGCUGCCUGUUCCCUGGGGGCUGACCCCGCUUGGCUUGGCGAGAAUUACCCCCAGACAGAAAUUGCAAAGGAUGCAAACGAAGACCAGGUCCUGGUGUCUGACAAGCAUGAAGUCUGACCAGCAGACCUGACACUGAUCUCUCUCAACACCUCACAGGUCAGGAAGGCUGGGCCUAGCAUUACCCUGACCUCAGACAGCCUCUCAUUCCCUCUUGGGACUCUUGAGAAGCUGUGGCAUGGUGAGCCUGGUUUCUGAGGCACAACUUCUCAGGGAGACCUGCUGGACACUGGGGAAGACACAGACACGUCUCCCAGACAGUACAGAUGACCUAAGGGCAUGCAUGUGACCAAAGUGGGCUUUUUCCCAAGCCUUGGUUUUGCUCCAGAUGCCUCACUCCUCAUUUGCUGCCUUCUGUCUUCUGACAGCUGUUCCCACGAGGAAUAAUCCUUGACAGCAGACCCUGGAAGACCGCCUUAGACCGGAUUCUGGAAAGGUCUGGCGUCUUCAGGAACAGCAAAACUUCCGCCCAAACGGAACUGUUUAAGUGUAUGAUAUCCUAAGACCUACUCCUGGCCAGUAAUCCAAAGACUGCAUCCAGCUGCCCCCCACCCCCAACACUCUGUGGAUUUGCUGUGUGACCCUGCUGCUCUCUGAGUCUGUUUCAUCAAUUGUAAAGGAUUGGGAUUGAUCAAGUGGUUUCUGCCUGGCUAGUCCCAGUGGCCUCAGCCUUGACUUCUCAAGUAAGACUUCCAGUCCCGGGACAAGGCUGACAUGGCUCUGAGGUUUGCCUGAGGGCAGGUAUCAUGCCACUUUGGGCUUCCCCAUGGAGCGGCUCAGACCAGAGUGCAUAUCAUAUAUCAGGUCUGCAUAGAGUCCCCAGAAGGUAGACAUCCAGGACUUUUGGAUACAGUGUGAGGUAUCUCCAGGGAGGUCCUGCCUGCCCUGUACCUGGCUUCUUCCUGGCUCACAGGUCUGGGCCAAAGCUUGCCGAUGGAGCCACUGUCUGCCUUAAGCUCACAGCUUGGGAGAUGGUGUGGACCCUCCUCAUGGAGUGUCAGUAAUGUUUCCCAGAGGGCCUUGGGGCUCAUGACAUUAUGGACAGCAGUUUCCAAGUGGGACCCACAAGGCUAAGUCCAUUUAAAAAUGAGCAAUGCUCCUGGGAGUUGGUGGUGGAUGCCUUUAAUCCCAGCCCUUGGGAGGCAGAGGCAGGUAGAUCUCUGUGAGUUCUAGGCCAGCCUGGUCUGAAUUCCAAGACAGCCAGGGCUGUUACACAGAGAAACCCUAUCUGGAAAAACAGAAGAACAAAAAUGAAACAGAAAAAUGAGCGGUGCCUUUUUUUUUUCUUUCUUUUUCUUUCCAUUUUGGCUGAGACAUGGAAUGUAAGUUAAAUGACUGCAGGGAUUUACACAGAAAUUACACAGGCUGGAUCCAAAACUGCCUCUGGUUUCUGGGGUCCUAAACACAAUGACAGAAUCCAGAAGUUUGUUCCCUCCUUUCUUAAAGCCACCCUGAUUCUAUUCCAGGUUCCCCCAACAGUACUAAGAUCAGGGGAAAUGGCAGUCUUUAGGGCCUAGGCGGUUUCUCUCACCCUCAGCUAAUAUCUGUAAAACAAGCAUAAUAGUUCUUCACCUGAGCAUUGCUCUAAGACAGCAUGACACCAGCCAAAUGUUUAUUCAUUCAACACUACUUACCAAGCACCUUCUCUCUACCAGGCAUUGUCAAGACCCCUUUUGGAACUAUACUGCAAUGGAGGAGACAGAGAAUAAACCAAUAAUGAAGGUGUCUCUAACUAAUGUUGCUAUUACAAAAUACCAGAGGUAAGGUACUUAAUAAACAAGAGAGGCUGAACUGACUCAUGGUCUUAAAUGCCCAAGAUAUGAUAGCACAUCUAGUCAGCUUCUGAUGAGGGCUUUGUGCAGCAUCUAUUCAGGUAAAGAACUGGAAAGACAAAGUGGGCAUGCAUAGAAGGAGUAUGUGAGAGAGGGCAGGGUAGGUUGACUUAAAAUCCAGCUUAGAGAGACCUAACUCCCUCUUAUGAGAACUAGUUUAAUUUAUUAAGGGAAAUAUAAAUCCAUUUAUGAUGGUGGUGACUCGCCUGCCAGCAGGCCUCCCUAUUAGCACACAGGGAGUCAGUUAGUCCUUACACACCUUUGCAGGGCACACUAUACUUGGAUACAUCAGAUAGAAUGUGUUCUGUGCUGAAAAUAAAAACUCCCUCUGGAGGAGGGGUAGUGGGUGGGCCAGGGCCUGUCAGGUGGCCUCACCAAGAAAGGAAGGGUUUGACAGACUCUGAGGGUGAAGCUUUGCAUCAUGUGGAGGAAGAACCCCCCCCCCCAGCUGAGGAAGGACACUGGUGAUUGUGGAAGCAGGAGGUGAGCUAGAUAUGGCACUCUAAACCUUGACUUCUCAGCCUUGCUCUGGGCUGCAGCAGCUCUGCAGUCAGAGGGACAGUCAGAGGGACAGCUAGGACAGUCAGGGAACAGUCAGGGAAUAGUCAGGGGACAGUCAGGAGGACAGUAGGAAACAGUCAUGGGGACAGUCAGGGGGACAACCGAGAACAGUCAGGGUACAGUCAGGGACUGUGGCUAGCUUUGCACUCUGAUCUUCAGACAAGCCUCAUUUGUUAGAUCAUAAAUAAGAUGUCACCACACAGGGAGGCUCCUGACUCCCCGUGCUCCUCUAGGUCUGACUCUGGCGAUUCAUCACAGCCAUUCCCAGUGUUUCAGCUAACCAUUCAGCCCAGCCUGGGUCCUGGAUGCAAUCCCAAGUGGGGGCCAGAAACAGGAAGCUGGGGUCUCCAGCCCUUUCUAAAAAUCUCAGAGUCUGUGGCAGUGAUCAAAAGUCUGCAUCGCACUAGAGAUCAUUUUCUGUAGGAUUGCCUCCUCCCUUUCCUUCCCUGUAUAUAAAAAAAAACCAGGGAGCACACUGCUGGCACACAGCUGUGUGUCUAGGGAACCAGAUUUAGUGAUCUGAUUCUGAUGUCCCCUCCCUGGCCUGAUGCCCCAGGACUCACUGCAGGCUUCAACCAGGCCAGGGCCACACCUUCUUUCCACCCUUGUCUUUAUUUUUCCCUCUCCUCUCAGUACAGUUCUAUUCCUCUGCUGGAACUCUCUGUGCUCCCUCCCUCCCUCCUUCCCUUCCUCCCUCCCUCCGAUCCUCCCUUCCAGUCAGCAUUAUGAGAAGGGUUCACAACUCAAGACAGAUGGAUCAGGGCUCAAACCCCAGUUCCUACUGCACUUUUCUGCCUGCCUUGGUUUCUUGUCCUAGGAAAGUGGGUGAGCCUCCCAAUCCAUGCUCCUAUGGAACAUUUAAGUUGAGAUGUUUCUAGAAUCCUUCUGCAAAAUAGUGGGUACUCAACAAAUGGAAGUUCUCUCUUACUUUUCUCCCCAUGACCUUCUCCCUGUCUCCUUCAUACACAAAGCAAAAGACCACACACACACACAUACAUACACACACACACACACACACACACACCUGGUCCCCAAGCACCAUGCUGUGAAGCCAAUAGUGCUCACUCUGGCCCUAUGCUGGAGGCAUGCCUAGUUGUCACGCUAGCCUCUGUCAUGGAGCUCCCAAAGGGAUUUAUAAGACAUCCUCUAAGCUGUGACUCAGAUACCAAAGUUGUUUUUUCACUAACUAGAAUACAGGAGAGACAUGCUGUCAACAUCUCAGUAUGGCCUACAGACCCCCGCAGUGACCCCAAAUUACAUUCCUUACACUUACAGGCUUCUCUCCAUAUCCUACAUUCUUGACCCCAGCUAGAGAGUCUAACAUCCUCAUUUCACUUUUUAAAGGUCUUUUGAGCUGGAGUUUUGUGUCAUCUAGGCUGACCUCUAAUUCUUGUUAGUGAACUGAGGAUGGCCUUGAACUUCCAAUCUUCCUGCUUCCACUAGCUGAGUAUUAACAUUGUGAGCAUGCCCCAUAGCGCCUGGAUGAUUACUCAAAUUUUUAAAUGGAAAAAAUAAUUGAGCCAGGUAGUAGUGGUGCAUACCUUUAAUCCUAGCACUCAGGAGACAGAUGCAGAUGGAUCUCUGUGCGUUUAAGGCCAGCCUGGUCUACAAGUGAAUUCCAGGACAGCCAGGACAGUUUCACAGAGAAACUGGGGAAAAAAACAAAAAAGAAAGAAAGGAAGAAAGAUAGAUUGAGGCUCAUUUGCAUUAGUAAUUGGGGAAAUGCAAAUCAGAACCACAGGCAGAGCUGGGAUGAGGAUCAGCUGGUAGACUGCUUGCCUGUCUUGCACAAAGCCCUGAGUUUGAUCCCCAGGACAGCAUAUACCCACGCCUAUAAUCUCAGCACUUGGGAGGUGGAGG